This 434-nucleotide ribosomal RNA is filed under the name uncultured bacterium. Its description in RNAcentral is "partial 16S ribosomal RNA". It matches the Rfam family "Bacterial small subunit ribosomal RNA", at positions 29 to 507 of the family's 1533-position model. The record is from RNAcentral.
AGCGAACGCUGGCGGCAGGCCUAACACAUGCAAGUCGAACGAACCUUUCGGGGUUAGUGGCGGACGGGUGAGUAACACGUGGGAACGUGCCUUUAGGUUCGGAAUAACUCAGGGAAACUUGGGCUAAUACCGAAUGUGCCCUUCGGGGGAAAGAUUUAUCGCCUUUAGAGCGGCCCGCGUCUGAUUAGCUAGUUGGGUGAGGUAAUGGCUCACCAAGGCGACGAUCAGUAGCUGGUCUGAGAGGAUGAUCAGCCACAUUGGGACUGAGACACGGCCCAAACUCCUACGGGAGGCAGCUGUGGGGAAUCUUGCGCAAUGGGCUAAAGCCUGACGCAGCCAUGCCGCGUGAAUGAUGAAGGUCUUAGGAUUGUAAAAUUCUUUCACCGGGGACGAUAAUGACGGUACCCGGAGAAGAAGCCCCGGCUAACUUCGUG